Molecule: long non-coding RNA, 278 nt
Filed under: Ananas comosus (pineapple)
Lineage: Eukaryota; Viridiplantae; Streptophyta; Magnoliopsida; Poales; Bromeliaceae
Description: long non-coding RNA (ACOM_LNC030713)
Source: RNAcentral
UAAAGAGAUCCCUUUCUUUACAUUGUUACGCCUUAUAGUAAAUAUAUCUGUAUAAUUCAUUCUAUUCUUGCACCGCUUUUAGCUGUAUUACACUAUUACAGCAGAUGUUACACUAUUAUUUCCGACGCAAUAGCCCAUACAAUUAUUUUGAAUAGAUGUUGCACUUUUACAUUCAUAUUAUAAACAAAUUCAGAGAAAAUCUUACACUGUUUUCUGACAACUUACAGUAAAAUAUUUUUAAAAAAGUUCUUGCACCAACGAUUUUUCUUGCACUGGUU